CCUACGGGAGGCAGCAGUGAGGAAUAUUGCACAAUGGGGGAAACCCUGAUGCAGCGACGCCGCGUGAGGGAAGAAGUAAUUCGGUAUGUAAAGCUCUAUCAGCAAGGAGAAAAAUUACGGUACCUGAGUAUGAAGCCCCGUCUAACUACGUGCCAGCAGCAGCGGUAAUACGUAGGGAGCAAGCGUUAUCCGGAUUUAGUGGGUGUAAAGGGAGCGUAGACGGCAUUGGAAGUCUGUAGGGAAAGGCGUGGGGUCAACCCCCGGACUGCACUGGAAACUGUCGGGCUGGAGUGCAGGAGAGGUAAGCGGAAUUCGUAGUGGAGCGGUGAAAUGCGUAGAUAUUAGGAGGAACACCAGUGGCGAAGGCGGCUUACUGGACUGUAACUGACGUUGAGGCUCGAAAGCGUGGGGAGCAAACAGGAUUAGAUACCCUAGUAGUA
Molecule: ribosomal RNA, 440 nt
Filed under: uncultured bacterium
Lineage: Bacteria
Description: partial 16S ribosomal RNA
Rfam family: Bacterial small subunit ribosomal RNA
Source: RNAcentral